AAUCAACGCUGGCGGCGUGCCUCAGACAUGCAAGUCGAACGAUUAAAGCUCUCUUCGGAGAGUGUAUAGAGUGGCGCACGGGUGAGUAACACGUAAGUAAUCUACCUUUGAGUGGGGAAUAACAGUCGGAAACGGCUGCUAAUACCGCAUAACGCAGCGGCACCGCAAGGUGACAGUUGUUAAAGGAGCAAUCCGCUUAAAGAGGAGCUUGCGGCAGAUAGCUUGUUGGUAAGGUAACGGCUUACCAAGGCUACGAUCUGUAUCCGGUCUAAGAGGACGGUCGGACACACUGACACUGAAUAACGGGUCAGACUCCUACGGGAGGCAGCAGUCGGGAAUUUUGGGCAAUGGGCGAAAGCCUGACCCAGCAACGCCGCGUGAAGGAUGAAGUAUUUCGGUAU
Molecule: ribosomal RNA, 401 nt
Filed under: uncultured bacterium
Lineage: Bacteria
Description: bacterial SSU rRNA
Rfam family: Bacterial small subunit ribosomal RNA
Source: RNAcentral